This 27-nucleotide small RNA is filed under the name Bombyx mori (domestic silkworm). Its description in RNAcentral is "ovarian small RNA-1152". Lineage: Eukaryota; Metazoa; Arthropoda; Insecta; Lepidoptera; Bombycidae. The record is from RNAcentral.
UGAAUCUAGAAGGGAUGCAACGGUUGC